AUGAACGCUGGCGGCGUGCCUAAUACAUGCAAGUCGAGCGAACGGACGAGAAGCUUGCUUCUCUGAUGUUAGCGGCGGACGGGUGAGUAACACGUGGAUAACCUACCUAUAAGACUGGGAUAACUUCGGGAAACCGGAGUUAAUACCGGAUGAUAUUUUGAACCGCAUGGUUCAAAAGUGAAAGACGGUCUUGCUGUCACUUAUAGAUGGAUCCGCGCUGCAUUAGCUAGUUGGUAAGGUAACGGCUUACCAAGGCAACGAUGCAUAGCCGACCUGAGAGGGUGAUCGGCCACACUGGAACUGAGACACGGUCCAGACUCCUACGGGAGGCAGCAGUAGGGAAUCUUCCGCAAUGGGCGAAAGCCUGACGGAGCAACGCCGCGUGAGUGAUGAAGGUCUUCGGAUCGUAAAACUCUGUUAUUAGGGAAGAACAUAUGUGUAAGUAACUGUGCACAUCUUGACGGUACCUAAUCAGAAAGCCACGGCUAACUACGUG
RNAcentral lists this ribosomal RNA (496 nucleotides) under uncultured bacterium. Its description in RNAcentral is "partial 16S ribosomal RNA". It matches the Rfam family "Bacterial small subunit ribosomal RNA", at positions 29 to 507 of the family's 1533-position model. The record is from RNAcentral.